CGGACGGGUGAGUAACGCGUGGAUAACCUGCCCCAUACCGGGGGAUAACAGCCGGAAACGGCUGCUAAUACCGCAUAAGCGCACGAGGCUGCAUGGCCUUGUGUGAAAAACUCCGGUGGUAUGGGAUGGAUCCGCGUCUGAUUAGCUAGUCGGUGAGAUAAAAGCCCACCAAGGCGACGAUCAGUAGCCGACCUGAGAGGGUGGCCGGCCACAUUGGGACUGAGACACGGCCCAGACUCCUACGGGAGGCAGCAG
RNAcentral lists this ribosomal RNA (255 nucleotides) under uncultured bacterium. Its description in RNAcentral is "partial 16S ribosomal RNA". It matches the Rfam family "Bacterial small subunit ribosomal RNA", at positions 99 to 354 of the family's 1533-position model. The record is from RNAcentral.